UACGGAGGAUGCAAGCGUUAUCCGGAUUCAUUGGGUUUAAAGGGUGCGUAGGCGGGCUAUUAAGUCAGUGGUGAAAUCCUACAGCUUAACUGCAGAACUGCCGUUGAUACUGAUAGUCUUGAGUUUGGUUAAGGUAGGCGGAAUGUGUAAUGUAGCGGUGAAAUGCUUAGAUAUUACACAGAACACCAAUUGCGUAGGCAGCUUACUGAGCCGACACUGACGCUGAGGCACGAAAGCGUGGGGAUCAAACAGGAUUA
Molecule: ribosomal RNA, 257 nt
Filed under: uncultured prokaryote
Description: partial 16S ribosomal RNA
Rfam family: Bacterial small subunit ribosomal RNA
Source: RNAcentral